AUGGCUGGAUUUAGUUGCCUAAGAAGCCUGACUAGUCUAGAAUUGUCUGAAGUGUAUAUUACAGGGGACGAGUUAGGGUGCCUUCUUUCGUGUUCUUUUGCUUUGGAGGAAUUGGUACUCACGUAUUGCAAAGAGAUAACUUGCCUCAAGAUACCUUGCGUGCUCCAGCGGCUCAGCCAGUUGGUGGUCACUGAUUGUGAAAAUCUGGAGGUUAUAAAGAGCAAAGCUCCUAAUCUCACCGUUUUUGAAUACACUGGUGGCGUAGUAGAAGUGUCAAUUGGAGAUGCGGUGCUAGACAUUAUGAUUUCAGCUUCUGGUUGGAACGUUGUUCAUUAUGCUCGCGCCAAGCUUCCACAGAUGGUCCCAAAUCUUGAAACUCUUGACAUAACCUCAUCUUUGGCGACAGACAUACCGUUUUCACCUGGCAAAUUCCUCCACCUCAAGCACUUGUGUAUUUCUUUCAUGGUAUCAGCAGGGGCUUUUUGCCCGGACUAUGAUUACUUUUCUCUGGUUUCUUUUCUUGAUGCUUGUCCUUCCUUGGAGACCUUGAUGUUGUGUGUAACACAACAGAGUGUAGAGCAUGAUUCAGUUUUAGGUGAUUCCUCACAUCUAAGGCAGAUGCCAGGACACUGCCAUGACAGCAUCAAGGAUGUGAAGAUCAUCGAUUUCUGCUCUGCGAAAAGCAUGGUUGAGCUAACAGUCCAUAUUCUUGAGAACGCGGUUUCACUAGAGCGCCUUACACUGGACACUGUCUGUUAUGAUCUUAGGUGUUCGGAUGGUGCUAGUAAAUGCUCAGUUGGGAAUAUGAAUAUGAUCAUGGAAGCCCAUAAAGCUCUCGUGGUUGUGAGAAGUUACAUCUUAGAGAAAGUUCCCUCUACAGUUGAGUUAAACGUUGUGGAGCCUUGCAGCCAGUGCCAUGCUGUUGAGAAUUAA
RNAcentral lists this ribosomal RNA (933 nucleotides) under Triticum aestivum (bread wheat). RNAcentral describes it as "partial small subunit ribosomal RNA". Lineage: Eukaryota; Viridiplantae; Streptophyta; Magnoliopsida; Poales; Poaceae. The record is from RNAcentral.